AUACGGAGGGUGCAAGCGUUAAUCGGAAUUACUGGGCGUAAAGCGCACGCAGGCGGUCUGUUAAGUCAGAUGUGAAAUCCCCGGGCUCAACCUGGGAACUGCAUUUGAAACUGGCAGGCUUGAGUCUUGUAGAGGGGGGUAGAAUUCCAGGUGUAGCGGUGAAAUGCGUAGAGAUCUGGAGGAAUACCGGUGGCGAAGGCGGCCCCCUGGACAAAGACUGACGCUCAGGUGCGAAAGCGUGGGGAGCAAACAGGAUUAGAUACCCUGGUAGUCCACGCUGUAAACGAUGUCGACUUGGAGGUUGUUCCCUUGAGGAGUGGCUUCCGGAGCUAACGCGUUAAGUCGACCGCCUGGGGAGUACGGCCGCAAGGUUAA
This 375-nucleotide ribosomal RNA is filed under the name uncultured bacterium. RNAcentral describes it as "bacterial SSU rRNA". It matches the Rfam family "Bacterial small subunit ribosomal RNA", at positions 523 to 897 of the family's 1533-position model. The record is from RNAcentral.